CAUGUUAUGCAGGUAAUAGCUUACGCAGGCAAUGAACAGUAGCUGGUCUAGAGGAUGAUCAGCCACACUGGGACUGAGACACGGGCCAGACUCCUACGGAGGCAGCAGUGAGGAAGUUUCCGCAAUGGGCGAAUGCCUGACGGAGUAAUCCGCGUGAAGGAUGAAGGCCUGUGGGUUGUAUACUUCUUUUCUCAGAGAAAAUUUUGACGGUAUCUGAGAAAUAAGCAUCGGCUAACUCUGUUCCAGCAGCGCGGUAAGACAGAGGAUGCAAGCGUUAUCCGGAAUGAUUGGGCGUAAAGGACUGUAGGUGGUUUGAGACGUCUCUUGUCAAAGAUCAGGGCUUAACCCUGACCGGCAAGAGAAACUAUUAGACUAGAGUUCGGUAGGUACAGACGUAAUCUUGGA
This 405-nucleotide ribosomal RNA is filed under the name Chlorella sp. Its description in RNAcentral is "bacterial SSU rRNA". It matches the Rfam family "Bacterial small subunit ribosomal RNA", at positions 241 to 673 of the family's 1533-position model. Lineage: Eukaryota; Viridiplantae; Chlorophyta; Trebouxiophyceae; Chlorellales; Chlorellaceae. The record is from RNAcentral.